AACGAACGCUGGCGGCAUGCCUAACACAUGCAAGUCGAACGAGCCCUUCGGGUCUUUUGGCCCAUGGCUGUGUAACCCGUGGGAACCUGCCCUUAUGUUCGGAAUAACUCCCCGACAGGGGUGCUAAUACCGGACAAUGUCUUCUGCCCAAAGAUUUAUUGCCUUUGGUUGUUCCCGCGUUGGAUUAGCUGGUUCUUACGGUAAAAGCCUACCACGGCGAGCAUCCAUAGCUGGUCAGAGAGGAAGAUCAGCCACACUGGGAGGGGGACCCGGCCCAGACUCCUACGGGAAGCGGCAGUGGGGGAUAGUGGAACAUGGGGGAAGGGAUGAUGCAGCAAUGCCGCGUGAGUGAUGAAAGCAGGGAGGUUGUAAAGCUCUUUUACCCGGGAUGAUAAUGACAGUACCGGGAGAAUAAGCUCCGGCUAACUACGUG
Molecule: ribosomal RNA, 433 nt
Filed under: uncultured bacterium
Lineage: Bacteria
Description: partial 16S ribosomal RNA
Rfam family: Bacterial small subunit ribosomal RNA
Source: RNAcentral